GUGUAUCUGCCAUGGUCAAUGUCAUUUCAGAAGUUUGUAAGGGCUAUUCCUUGAAGCUUACACCUGCCCCCCUCAAUGUGACUAACAAGUCUUUUCAGUUAGUAACAUACUUGCUGAGGGUUUGACAACAAAGACUUAAUGAAGAUUGUGAUAAAUUCACACAGACACCCAAGUAAAUUUUGUUUUAUAGACUAAAAUUAAAAAAUCUUCAAGAAAGGGAGGAGAAGUUCCUUCAUCCGUGGAAAACAAAACUCUUGUUAAACACCCGACAUCAGGAGCUGUUUUCACAUUUCCUUUGCCAACACAAGAAACAGUUUUACGGUAUCUCAUCCUCUGCCCAAGAAUGAGCAAGAACAGCUUGUACACGCACAUAUUAUAAGAACUGAUAACUGAGUCCAGCAAUGUUGCAGCAUGAAAAAUCAACGUACAACAGUCAACUGUAUUUCUAUGUAUUAGCAAUAAACCAAAAAUUAAAUGAAGAAAACAAUUUCGUUUAAAAUAGCAUCAAACAAAAUAAAAAC
This 521-nucleotide long non-coding RNA is filed under the name Homo sapiens (human). Its description in RNAcentral is "HSALNT0345367". Lineage: Eukaryota; Metazoa; Chordata; Mammalia; Primates; Hominidae. The record is from RNAcentral.